RNAcentral lists this long non-coding RNA (244 nucleotides) under Durio zibethinus. Its description in RNAcentral is "long non-coding RNA (DZIB_LNC000444)". The record is from RNAcentral. Lineage: Eukaryota; Viridiplantae; Streptophyta; Magnoliopsida; Malvales; Malvaceae.
GGGGAAUUGUACAUUAUGUGUGUGAAUUAUCAGCAAAUAGAAAGUCCACAACUCAAACCAUCGUUAUGCUCUUGCCAAGGUAUCUUUGAAGAACCGUUAGGGUUGCCACUUGAAAGACCUCAACCAUAAUGUUUUCUUAAAAUCAGGAUUCUAAUCAAUCAACCUAAGAUCAUAUACGUUCACUCACUUCUUACACCUAUCUCAUCCUUACACUGCCUUAGAAGUAGCUAAAACGUAUUUAGAA